ACAAGGUUUCCGUAGGUGAACCUGCGGAAGGAUCAUUACUGAAUAACUAAAUCUUUAGUUUUUCAUACCCCAUUGUUGACUUACCCAUGUUGCUUCCACGUGGACAGGCGUUCAUUCUGCCCUCUGGCUUGUUGUGCUUACCCCACACUUGACAGGGAGUUGCCCGUGGUAAGACCCCAAUAUUACACUUGUUAUAUAUACUAUAAUGUCUGAAUAAAUCAUUUCAAAUGAAAUAAAACUUUCAACAACGGAUCUCUAGGCUCUUGCAUCGAUGAAGAACGCAGUGAAAUGCGAUAAGUAAUGUGAAUUGCAGAAUCUCGUGAAUCAUCGAAUCUUUGAACGCACAUUGCGCCCUAUGGUAUUCCGUAGGGCAUGCCUGUCUGAGCGUCAGCUCCCCCCAACUCAAACUUUUGUUAGUUUGGAUUACUUUGAAGGUGUAGCUUGUCAAAGCUGCUUUUCAGAAAUUCAUAGGCAGUAUGGUUAUUCCUAGACCAGACGUAAUAAUAAUAAAACCGUCUUUUUGGGAAAGANAUUGUGCUUGCCUCAACCCACCCAUUAUCUUUUUACUUGGGUGACUCAGUCAGGUAGGGAUACCCGCGAAA
Molecule: ribosomal RNA, 602 nt
Filed under: Chromelosporium carneum
Lineage: Eukaryota; Fungi; Ascomycota; Pezizomycetes; Pezizales; Pezizaceae
Description: eukaryotic LSU rRNA
Rfam family: 5.8S ribosomal RNA (bases 237-390)
Source: RNAcentral